ACGGAGGGGGCUAGCGUUGUUCGGAAUUACUGGGCGUAAAGGGCGCGUAGGCGGUUCGGUAAGUUAGGCGUGAAAGGCCUGGGCUCAACCCGGGAACUGCGCUUAAGACUGUCGGGCUGUGAGUCCGGGAGAGGAUGGCGGAAUUCCCAGUGUAGAGGUGAAAUUCGUAGAUAUUGGGAAGAACACCAGUGGCGAAGGCGGCCAUCUGGCCCGGUACUGACGCUGAGGCGCGAAAGCGUGGGGAGCAAACAGGA
RNAcentral lists this ribosomal RNA (254 nucleotides) under uncultured prokaryote. Its description in RNAcentral is "partial 16S ribosomal RNA". It matches the Rfam family "Bacterial small subunit ribosomal RNA", at positions 525 to 777 of the family's 1533-position model. The record is from RNAcentral.